This 497-nucleotide ribosomal RNA is filed under the name uncultured bacterium. Its description in RNAcentral is "partial 16S ribosomal RNA". It matches the Rfam family "Bacterial small subunit ribosomal RNA", at positions 28 to 507 of the family's 1533-position model. The record is from RNAcentral.
GAUGAACGCUGGCGGCGUGCCUAAUACAUGCAAGUCGAGCGAACGGACGAGAAGCUUGCUUCUCUGAUGUUAGCGGCGGACGGGUGAGUAACACGUGGAUAACCUACCUAUAAGGCUGGGAUAACUUCGGGAAACCGGAGCUAAUACCGGAUAAUAUUUUGAACCGCAUGGUUCAAAAGUGAAAGACGGUCUUGCUGUCACUUAUAGAUGGAUCCGCGCUGCAUUAGCUAGUUGGUAAGGUAACGGCUUACCAAGGCAACGAUGCAUCGCCGACCUGAGAGGAUGAUCUGACCCACUGGAACUGAGACACGGUCCAGAGUACGACGGGAGGCAGCAGUGGGGAAUAUUGGACAAUGGGCGCAAGCCUGAUCCAGCCAUACCGCGUGGGUGAAGAAGGCCUUCGGGUUGUAAAGCCCUUUUGUUGGGAAAGAAAAGCAGCAGGUUAAUACCCCGCUGUUCUGACGGUACCAAAAGAAUAAGCACCGGCUAACUUCGUG